UCCUGGCUUGGGCAUUUCGUACACUCUAUGGUGAUCAUGAGCGAUACGAAACAACAUACUUCAAACCAUUCCCAGGAUACUAUUUUACUGGUGAUGGCUGUAGCAGGGACAAGGAUGGUUACCACUGGCUGACUGGUAGAGUUGAUGAUGUCAUCAAUGUCAGUGGACACCGGAUUGGGACGGCA
Eucalyptus grandis is the source of this 185-nucleotide long non-coding RNA. RefSeq lists it as uncharacterized. NCBI's taxonomy places the organism in Eukaryota, Viridiplantae, Streptophyta, Magnoliopsida, Myrtales, Myrtaceae. The record is from RefSeq and is a predicted model, not a curated record. The transcript is spliced from 3 exons.